CAGAACGAACGCUGGCGGUAUGCUUAACACAUGCAAGUCGAACGCGAAAGUUUCUUCGGAGACGAGUAGAGUGGCGCACGGGUGAGUAACGCGUAGAUAAUCUGCCCUGAAGUUUGGGACAACCUUUCGAAAGGAGGGCUAAUACCAGAUAAGACCCGGAUUAUUUAAGGGAGAGGUUGAAAUGGUCCGCCGCCCUGGGACGAGUCUGCGUACCAUUAGCUAGUUGGUGGGGUAAUGGCCCACCAAGGCGACGAUGGUUAGCGGGUCUGAGAGGAUGAUCCGCCACACUGGAACCGAGACACGGUCCAGACUCCUACGGGAGGCAGCAGUGGGGAAUCUUGCGCAAUGGACGCAAGUCUGACGCAGCAAUACCGCGUGAGUGAAGAAGGCCUUAGGGUCGUAAAGCUCUUUUAUCGGGGAAGAUAAUGACGGUACCCGAGGAAUAAGCACCGGCUAACUACGUGCCAGCAGCCGCGGUAAUACGUAGGGUGCAAGCGUUGUUCGGAAUCACUGGGCGUAAAGGGCGUGUAGGCGGAUUGUUAAGCAUGAGGUGAAAGCCCGGGGCUCAACCCCGGAAGUGCUUCAUGAACUGACAAACUAGAGUUGGUGAGAGGUGAGCGGAAUUCCAGGUGUAGAGGUGAAAUUCGUAGAUAUCAGGAGGAAUACCGGAGGCGAAGGCGGCUUGCUGGGGCCAAUCUGACGCUGAUGCACGAAAGCGUGGGGAGCAAACGGGAUUAGAUACCCCGGUAGUCCACGCCGUAAACGAUGAGUACCAGCUGUAUAAUAUAAAGUUAUGUGGCGCAGUUAACACGUUGAGUUGAGUACUCCGCCUGGGAAGUACGGUCGCAAGACUAAAACUCAAAGGAAUUGACGGGGGCCCGCACAAGCGGUGGAGCAUGUGGUUUAAUUCGACGCAACGCGAAGAACCUUACCUGCCCUUGACAUCCUUGGCCCGCCUAAGAGAUUAGGUUUUCCCUUCGGGGACCAAGUGACAGGUGCUGCAUGGCUGUCGUCAGCUCGUGUCGUGAGAUGUUGGGUUAAGUCCCGCAACGAGCGCAACCCUUAUCCUUAGUUGCCUGCAUGUAAGAUGGGAACUCUAGGGAGACUGCCGGUGUCAAGCCGGAGGAAGGUGGGGAUGACGUCAAGUCCUCAUGGCCUUUAUAUCCAGGGCUACACACGUGCUACAAUGGCAACUACAAAGAGCAGCUAAACCGCGAAGGUAGAGCGAAUCUCAAAAAGGUCAUCUCAGUUCGGAUUGCAGUCUGCAACUCGGCUGCAUGAAGUUGAAUCGCUAGUAAUCGUAGAUCAGCGUGC
RNAcentral lists this ribosomal RNA (1314 nucleotides) under uncultured prokaryote. Its description in RNAcentral is "partial 16S ribosomal RNA". It matches the Rfam family "Bacterial small subunit ribosomal RNA", at positions 25 to 1357 of the family's 1533-position model. The record is from RNAcentral.